Long non-coding RNA from Brassica rapa (field mustard), 3048 nucleotides. RefSeq lists it as uncharacterized. Lineage: Eukaryota; Viridiplantae; Streptophyta; Magnoliopsida; Brassicales; Brassicaceae. The record is from RefSeq and is a predicted model, not a curated record.
AUAUUAAAAUGUACUAUAUAUCUAAGUUAAUAUCAUUAAAACUUAGUUUUAUAUCAUAUAAAAUAGAAAAACUGUUUGUUUGAAUUAAUAAAAUUUAUUUAUGUGUUUGCACCAAUUUAAUCAUAUACGUAAUAUUUUCUGAGUUUUUAAUUAUCAAUUUAUAUGUAUUAUUUAAUAAUAUAUAAAAGAACAUAUAAUACAUAAAACUAAUUUAUAUAAUAUUUAUUCCGGGCAAGUGCGUGUCUUAACCUAGUAUAUCAGUAUACCACCAACCAGUGAAUAUUUUAGAAACUAAUUCAUAACAUGACGUAUUAUAUAAUGGAAAACCAUGGUUUUGAACAGUGGCAGAUCUAAGAAAAAUUUUUACUCGGGGCAAAACUAUAAAACACUAGUAACAUAUUUACAUAUUCAAAUUUUCAUCAGGACCACUAUUAAAAUGAUAUCUCUUUUUAUUAUUUGAGGAGCAUUAUAUAAAACUAACAUUUAAUUCAUGUGUUUAUUACAUGUGUGUCAUUUCCUACGUAUCAGCACCACAAGCUCUCUCACUUCAUAUAUUCAAAAACUCUUUCUUAACUAAACUAAUUACAAAAAGUACCAUUGCUCAUUACAUUAAAAAUUGGGUAUAUAUUAUAAGCUUAUUGACUAACUAAAAAAUUAAACCCGCGCCCCGCUUGCUACGCUUCAAUUAGAAACGACAAAUUUAAAUAUGCAGAGAUUUUAUUGCCAUAACCUGAGAUUUUUUAUAAUGAUCGAUUUUGUUAUAUAGCCUGACUUAAAUAUUAAUGCCUUUCUACAUAGUUAGACUACAUAAAAUCCGUUGUGUACGUAUGUAUCUACAUAUCUACUUUUAUAUAUGUUGCUGCAAAUCUUCUCCGUAUUAGACAAAGAUACCGAUCACAAUCGCAAUGUUCAAGAAUUAUUACAGAAUGGCAAAAUCUUAUAGAUAUAUACGUACACUUUUUUUAAAAAAUGACAUAAAACUUGGAAAUAUAUUAUAUUGUUAAAAGCUAAUAAUAGUUUCAAAUCUCCUCCAUUGCAUGUUAAUCAUGUUUAUUGUUUCCAUAAUUAUCAAUGCAAUUGUAAUCGACGAUCAUUUUAUGAUAGUUUAGAUUCAAGGCAACACAAUUUAAUACAUUACCAUUUCGAUUUUUCCCAUAAUAUAUGAUUCAAAUUUGAAUUGUCAAUCACAGGAUCAAAUGAAUUAUUGUCAAUGGCAAUGUUAGCGUGCUAAUGGAAACAAAAUUGGCUUGAAAAGAGGAGUUUUCUAUAUAAGGGAUUUAACGGAUAUUGCAUCGUUGUUAUUUGAAUACGGUUUCACCACGUCAAAGUUAUUACGAAUACAUGAUUAUCCAUCAUUGAUUUAUACAUACUUUUUGCAACAGAUGAUAUUUUUACAUUAAAUUUGCGUGACCAGAUCUUCAUAUUGUUACCUAUUUUACGUACAAACAUAUCGCACUGAUUAUCCAUCGUUGGUUUUUUUUUUUUUGAAAAGAUCAAAAUUGGUAUGGUAGUUAUUAAUUUUUUUAAUCCCUUGAUAUUUUUGGAUAACCGCUCUAACAAAAAAGGAAAUUAUUGAAAUCAUAAAACAUGAUGUGCAAUCUUUUUGGUUUGAUUGAAAAGUCAAAUUACACUAUUAAUGUAACAAAUCAUUUAUAAUUCAAUCAUAUUCAGUAUUCAAACCUAAGUUUCCUUAUCUUAUUCAUUUAAUUUAGAAGAUUUAUUCUCCACAUAAAAGUUGGACUAGACAUCAAAACUACUAUAAUCUUUUUCAAGUUUAUUUUCUUUAAAUUUUGGACUAUGAUAAAGUUUAUUCAAACCUAAGUUUCCUUUUUUGAUGAUAGUCUGAAGAGUGUUUGGAACUAAUUGUCAUAAAUUUCCUGGUCUAAGGAUUUUAAAGAUAAAUCCAAAUUUUCUUCUGUUAGUAAAUGUACAUUUUAUGGCAGGGAGAUCCGUAGGACUAGGCAUAAUCGGUUUGGUUUUCGAUUUUUCGGUUGUAGAUAUAUAAAACUGUUCGGUUAUUUAUGAAAUUUGAUUCUUAUUUCAGUUUUUGGUUUGAUUGGGUAAUAAUAUUGCGAAUUGGCUAAUAUUCGAUAAAAUUUGUUCCAACUCAGAUCUGGUUUUUGAAUUAUUCAAAUAAAAGAUUCAGAAUUUUUUUUAGUUUUAAGAUUAAAUUAAAUAUCAAAUAGUUAGGGUGUACACUUUACGAUUGCACGUAUUCAACCUGAUAGCAUAAAGAAAAUUUAAUAAAUGUGUUUUAUUGGGCCUAGUUUAAAAGUCUGUUAAGUCUACAUUGAAAUCCGUUUAAUCAGCAGGAUCAACAAAACCUUGAGGAAGGUGCACUAUAAACAUACCACGUGGAGGAAUAAGCACCGUCCGUUUAAAAAUGUAUCCGUUGAUGUUUAAAGAUGCAACGAUACAUAUAUAAAAGCGUAUGUAUCAGGAGGAGAUGAUUACUCUGUUCUUUCACUUCUCUUAGGGUUUUCUCCCAAAAGUUUCUUUCUGGAGAUAACUCCUUUUCAAAGAAGCAGAGAAGUUCACGAUUCUUGAAAGAGGUUUCAAAUUUCCUUAAUUGUUCAUUCAUUUAUUGUUGUAGUGAUCCUGGAAAGCGCUUGAAUCCGUAUGGAAUCAUCGUUGAGAUUGAAGAUAAGUGUGAGUCUCUGAGUUGAACGGCUAAAGAAGUAGCAACCUAAGACAUGUUUUGUAUGGGCUUCAGAAAACUCAGAGAUGAUUUCAAGUGUAUCAGAUUUCUUUAACCAGGUGCGUUCUUCACAAACUGUUCAUAUCUUCAUUGACGCCAAGGAUUUACCCAGAUCAGUAUUAACGAUAUUGAAAGCCAAACAAGUGAGAAGGCAAUGCUUCGGAAUGUGAGUAUACGACCAUAUGCAAUUUAAAUAGAGGGAAAAACUGGUUCAUUAUGUUCAAAUAGUAGAUAAUACGAGCAAGAAUGAUCGUGGUCCAUAUGUUUUAAAUAAUUUAUGGAAAAACUUAUCACAUAAUGGAUUGUUAUUUCUUUCUCUCUUUUUAAAUAAAACAUUCUAAUUUGAUAUA